GAAGCGCCACGACGUCGUUGGGCGUCGGGACGGCAGAGCAUCGCCAUAUCAUCUAACUGCUACUCUAUGGAAUCUUGUUACAGUUCCCUGAGAAUUUCGGUCAGUGGAGUGGCUUCGUGCUGGCCGAGGUUCGUUUCCCGGCAGGGUCAGUGCUUCUCUCGUCACCAAGAUGUCCAGGCUGGUACUGGAGCCUGUUUGCCCUCCUAUCUAAUGGGAACAAAGCGGCCGGAGCAUGAAUCCCAGCACUCGGUGUCUGUCAUCUAGUGUCAAAGUGUCCAUACCGGCUCUGGAGCUUAUCCUACCCCAAAACU
Cryptotermes secundus is the source of this 311-nucleotide long non-coding RNA. RefSeq lists it as uncharacterized. The transcript is spliced from 3 exons. NCBI's taxonomy places the organism in Eukaryota, Metazoa, Arthropoda, Insecta, Blattodea, Kalotermitidae. The record is from RefSeq and is a predicted model, not a curated record.